Molecule: ribosomal RNA, 534 nt
Filed under: uncultured Burkholderia sp.
Lineage: Bacteria; Pseudomonadati; Pseudomonadota; Betaproteobacteria; Burkholderiales; Burkholderiaceae
Description: bacterial SSU rRNA
Rfam family: Bacterial small subunit ribosomal RNA
Source: RNAcentral
CGGCAGCACGGGGGCAACCCUGGUGGCGAGUGGCGAACGGGUGAGUAAUACAUCGGAACGUGUCCUGUAGUGGGGGAUAGCCCGGCGAAAGCCGGAUUAAUACCGCAUACGCUCUACGGAGGAAAGGGGGGGAUCUUAGGACCUCCCGCUACAGGGGCGGCCGAUGGCAGAUUAGCUAGUUGGUGGGGUAAAGGCCUACCAAGGCGACGAUCUGUAGCUGGUCUGAGAGGACGACCAGCCACACUGGGACUGAGACACGGCCCAGACUCCUACGGGAGGCAGCAGUGGGGAAUUUUGGACAAUGGGCGAAAGCCUGAUCCAGCAAUGCCGCGUGUGUGAAGAAGGCCUUCGGGUUGUAAAGCACUUUUGUCCGGAAAGAAAACGUCGUGGUUAAUACCCGUGGCGGAUGACGGUACCGGAAGAAUAAGCACCGGCUAACUACGUGCCAGCAGCCGCGGUAAUACGUAGGGUGCAAGCGUUAAUCGGAAUUACUGGGCGUAAAGCGUGCGCAGGCGGUCCGCUAAGACAGAUGUG